RNAcentral lists this ribosomal RNA (492 nucleotides) under uncultured bacterium. Its description in RNAcentral is "partial 16S ribosomal RNA". It matches the Rfam family "Bacterial small subunit ribosomal RNA", at positions 29 to 507 of the family's 1533-position model. The record is from RNAcentral.
AGUGAACGCUGGCGGCAGGCCUAACACAUGCAAGUCGAGCGGAAGCACGGAGAGAGCUCGCUCUUACAGGUGGCGACGGGCGGGUGAGUGAGAAGUAGAUCGCCAUCUUCUUAGUCGUGGGGGAUAACGUGGGGACACUUACGCUAAUAGCGCAUACGACGAACGGGUGGGAUCAGCGGAGCUUCGGAGAUUGGGUGAGCCUAUGAGCCGGUGUCGGAUUAGCUAGGUGGGGGGGUAAGGGCCUACCAAGGCGACGAUCCGUAGCUGGGCUGAGAGGAUGAUCAGCCACACUGGAACUGAGACACGGUCCAGACUCCUACGGGAGGCAGCAGUGGGGAAUAUUGGACAAUGGGCGAAAGCCUGAUCCAGCCAUGCCGCGUGUGUGAAGAAGGUCUUCGGAUUGUAAAGCUCUUUUAUUGGGGAAGAACAGCAGUAUGUUAAUACCUCGCUGUUUUGACGGUACCCAAAGAAUAAGCACCGGCUAACUUCGUG